GGCCCCUCAGGGGCAGCAGGGCCCGGCUACAGCCCGGGCUCGUGGGCGCGCCUGAGAUGUGUCAGCACACAUUUAUAUCCAUCGUGGGAGGCGCUCAGGGAGAACAGGCCGGGUGGGAUGUGGGAUAGUAGCGAGGAGCCUCCCCGGCACCGCGCCGGUAGCAGAACAGCCCAGCCCGGCUGUUGUGUGGGUAACCCGGCCCAAAGCCGCCCCUCCACAUGAGGCAGGAAAACCUUCCCUGCGGCUCACUCCGGCCAAAACCACCCUCAGGACUGGGGCUCUCCAUGAGACGAGCGGGGGGAGCAGCAUAGCACAGCCCGGGAGCCGUGCGGGGAGCGGGGGGUGAGGCAGGAGCGAGCCACGCUGGAAACGCGCCCAUGGCCGGACUCUGACCGGGGAGAGCCAGCUCAGCCCGCAGCGAGGGGUGAAUCACGGCAGCAACAGCAGCGGCAGCUGCCAUGAGGCAGCUCCAGCCUCACGGUCUGGCCCCGGACAUGUCCCAUGCAGGAUAUUCCCGUAGGCCGGGUCACCUGAGCGCUGUGUGCACGGAGCCUGCUCAGGGUUCAUUAACGCGCUUGGGGAUGCCGUGAAUGGAGUCAGCCAGAAGUGGAAACCUUUGUAAAGUCUUUGUGUCUGUUCUUGCCCUGAUUUUUCACCCUGUAACUUGGUGCCUUCGUUAACGCCUGUGAAGUUCCCGCUGCUGUUCUGUUGGAGCCGGGUCCGGGAGCGCCUCUCCCCGCCGGGCUGGGGGUGCCUCGGGGCGUUUGCCCAUCCCCACACACAGCCCUGGCCACAAAGUACCUGUUGGGCACGGCCAGGAGCAGAGCAUCCAUCCAUGAAGAGCUGGAAGUUCAAACACCUGCUGAUGUGGCUGCUGGAAGAGCUGGGACGGGAAUUCCUGCAGCCUCCCCGACCUGGAGAAGGCUCUGAAGGCACACUGGCUCAGCCCAUGGGGCUGCUCCCUCCUGGCACAGCUCCCAGUGCUGUGAUCCCGUUAGGAGUGAGCACAGCUUAGACCAAACACAGCCGAAGAGCUGACACAUGAUUUCAGGGGAAGCUUUGCAGAGCUGGGAUCCUGGAGGAAAAGCCCCUUUGAAGCAGUCCCCAAGAAGAGCCUGGAUCAGCCAGGCAGGAUCCCGAUGUCCCCACCUCUGCAGUGGCAAAGCCUUCUCUGCCAUUCAUCCCUAUCGGCUCUUUACAAAAGCUGCUUGUUUUCCCAAGUGUUGCCUUUUUUUCUCUCUCUCUCUUUUUUUUUUUUUUUUUUUUUCACGUGUGAUUUAAUUCACACAAACUCCUUCCUCUUCUGACUAUUGAUCUUGGCUCCUUACUGGUUAAAAUAAACGAAAUCUUUCAUAA
Long non-coding RNA from Melospiza melodia melodia, 1356 nucleotides. RefSeq lists it as uncharacterized. NCBI's taxonomy places the organism in Eukaryota, Metazoa, Chordata, Aves, Passeriformes, Passerellidae. The transcript is spliced from 2 exons. The record is from RefSeq and is a predicted model, not a curated record.